Molecule: non-coding RNA, 548 nt
Organism: Heterocephalus glaber (naked mole-rat)
Lineage: Eukaryota; Metazoa; Chordata; Mammalia; Rodentia; Bathyergidae
Source: RefSeq, a predicted model, not a curated record
CUUGCUCUUCUACCUUCUGGCUCCGCACAGCUCAGCAAGAAGCCCUCACUAGAUGCCACCGCCUUCAUCUUGGACUUCCCAGCCUGUAAAGCUGGCAAAGGAAAAGCAAUGGAAAGAAAACUGGUGAAGGGCUUGUUGUGAGAAAAAGGAAAGAAGAAAAGAAUGGAAGGAGAGUACAUAAUGGAACUGGAGCAUCCGAACACUCUUCUAGAAUUUUACUCUGAGAUGAAAUCUUCAAUCCAAAAGUCAGAAACUUACUAAAAACAUUUGGAAAGUGAAAAAAGGAGCCAGCAUACAAAGACUUAAAAAAUAAAUCAACAGGACAGAAUUUUCCACUGGAAACGGUGCUGUGAUUGGCCUGGCUCACGUUAGCCCCACGAACUUCAUGAGCUACAGCUCACUUGACUGUAUGAGACAUGUCUUUGUCAGGACUGGCAGUGGAUGAUUCAAGUAGAACUCACUGGUUCCAGAACUUCUCAAGCUAUGUUCUGCAGAACAUUAGGGGUUUUGAGAGAUAACUAAAAUUGUCUUCAUGGUCAAAUAUCUGG